This 250-nucleotide ribosomal RNA is filed under the name uncultured bacterium. Its description in RNAcentral is "partial 16S ribosomal RNA". It matches the Rfam family "Bacterial small subunit ribosomal RNA", at positions 524 to 773 of the family's 1533-position model. The record is from RNAcentral.
UACGGAGAGUGCAAGCAUUAAUCGGAAUUAUUGGGCGUAAAGGGCGCGUAGGCGGAAAGAUAAGUCAGAUGUGAAAUACCAAAGCUCAACUUUGGUGCUGCAUUUGAAACUAUCAUUCUAGAGGGUUGACGGAGAAAACGGAAUUCCACGUGUAGCGGUGAAAUGCGUAGAUAUGUGGAAGAACACCAGUGGCGAAAGCGGUUUUCUAGUUAAUACCUGACGCUGAGGCGCGAGAGCAAGGGGAGCAAAC